UGCAGUCGACGAUGCUUUCGGGCAUAGUGGCGCACGGGUGCGUAACGCGUGGGAAUCUGCCCUUGGGUUCGGAAUAACAGUUGGAAACGACUGCUAAUACCGGAUGAUGACGAAAGUCCAAAGAUUUAUCGCCUGAGGAUGAGCCCGCGUAAGAUUAGGUAGUUGGUGGGGUAAAGGCCUACCAAGCCGACGAUCUUUAGCUGGUCUGAGAGGAUGAUCAGCCACACUGGGACUGAGACACGGCCCAGACUCCUACGGGAGGCAGCAGUGGGGAAUAUUGGACAAUGGGCGAAAGCCUGAUCCAGCAAUGCCGCGUGAGUGAUGAAGGCCUUAGGGUUGUAAAGCUCUUUUACCCGGGAUGAUAAUGACAGUACCGGGAGAAUAAGCCCCGGCUAACUCCGUGCCAGCAGCCGCGGUAAUACGGAGGGGGCUAGCGUUGUUCGGAAUUACUGGGCGUAAAGCGCACGUAGGCGGCUUUGUAAGUUAGGGGUGAAAGCCUGGAGCUCAACUCCAGAAUUGCCUUUAAGACUGCAUCGCUUGAAUCCAGGAGAGGUGAGUGGAAUUCCGAGUGUAGAGGUGAAAUUCGUAGAUAUUCGGAAGAACAC
This 605-nucleotide ribosomal RNA is filed under the name uncultured bacterium. Its description in RNAcentral is "bacterial SSU rRNA". It matches the Rfam family "Bacterial small subunit ribosomal RNA", at positions 56 to 709 of the family's 1533-position model. The record is from RNAcentral.